GACAGAGGGUGCAAACGUUGUUCGGAAUUACUGGGCGUAAAGGGCGCGUAGGCGGCUUGCUAAGUCGAACGUGAAAUCCCCGGGCUCAACCCGGGAACUGCGUCCGAGACUGGCAGGCUUGAAUCCGGGAGAGGGAUGUGGAAUUCCAGGUGUAGCGGUGAAAUGCGUAGAUAUCUGGAGGAACAUCGGUGGCGAAGGCGGCAUCCUGGACCGGUAUUGACGCUGAGGCGCGAAAGCCAGGGGAGCAAACGGG
Molecule: ribosomal RNA, 253 nt
Filed under: uncultured prokaryote
Description: partial 16S ribosomal RNA
Rfam family: Bacterial small subunit ribosomal RNA
Source: RNAcentral